RNAcentral lists this ribosomal RNA (344 nucleotides) under uncultured Verrucomicrobiota bacterium. RNAcentral describes it as "bacterial SSU rRNA". It matches the Rfam family "Bacterial small subunit ribosomal RNA", at positions 29 to 351 of the family's 1533-position model. The record is from RNAcentral. Lineage: Bacteria; Pseudomonadati; Verrucomicrobiota.
AACGAACGCUGGCGGCGUGGAUAAGACAUGCAAGUCGAGCGCUGAUUACAGGGUAGCAAUAUUCUGUGGUCGGAGCGGCGCAAGGGUGCGUAACACGUGGGUAAUCUGCCAUGAAGUUUGGAAUAACUCGCUGAAAGGCGAGCUAAUGCCGGAUGUGAAAGCUGAGAGGCAUCUCUCGGUUUUCAAAGCUGGUGACCGUAAGGCCUGGCGCUUCAUGAUGAGCCCGCGGCCUAUCAGCUAGUUGGUGAGGUAACGGCUCACCAAGGCUAAGACGGGUAGCUGGUCUGAGAGGACGACCAGCCACACUGGAACUGAGACACGGUCCAGACACCUACGGGAGGCAG